UACGAAGGGAGCUAGCGUUGUUCGGAAUCACUGGGCGUAAAGCGCACGUAGGCGGAUGUGUCAGUCAGGGGUGAAAUCCCGGAGCUCAACUUCGGAACUGCCUUUGAUACAGCACGUCUUGAGUCCGAUAGAGGUGGGUGGAAUUCCUAGUGUAGAGGUGAAAUUCGUAGAUAUUAGGAAGAACACCGGUGGCGAAGGCGGCCAUCUGGCACACAACUGACGCUGAGGCGCGAAAGCGUGGGGAUCAAACAGG
Molecule: ribosomal RNA, 253 nt
Filed under: uncultured bacterium
Lineage: Bacteria
Description: partial 16S ribosomal RNA
Rfam family: Bacterial small subunit ribosomal RNA
Source: RNAcentral